UACGGGGGGAGCAAGCGUUGUUCGGAUUUACUGGGCGUAAAGGGCGCGUAGGCGGUCAGCACAAGUCAGUUGUGAAAUCUCCGGGCUUAACUCGGAAAGGUCAACUGAUACUGUGCGACUAGAGUGCAGAAGGGGCAACUGGAAUUCUCGGUGUAGCGGUGAAAUGCGUAGAUAUCGAGAGGAACACCAGUGGCGAAAGCGGCUACCUGGCCCAUUCUUGACGCUGAGGCGCGAAAGCUAGGGGAGCAAACGGG
This 254-nucleotide ribosomal RNA is filed under the name uncultured bacterium. Its description in RNAcentral is "partial 16S ribosomal RNA". It matches the Rfam family "Bacterial small subunit ribosomal RNA", at positions 524 to 776 of the family's 1533-position model. The record is from RNAcentral.